CCUACGGGCGGCAGCAGUGGGGAAUAUUGGACAAUGGGGGCAACCCUGAUCCAGCCAUGCCGCGUGUGUGAAGAAGGCCCUCGGGUUGUAAAGCACUUUCAGUGAGGAAGAACGCCUGGUGGUUAAUACCCAUCAGGAAAGACAUCACUCACAGAAGAAGCACCGGCUAACUCCGUGCCAGCAGCCGCGGUAAUACGGAGGGUGCGAGCGUUAAUCGGAAUUACUGGGCGUAAAGCGCGCGUAGGUGGCUUGAUAAGCCGGUUGUGAAAGCCCCGGGCUCAACCUGGGAACGGCAUCCGGAACUGUCAAGCUAGGGUGCAGGAGAGGAAGGUAGAAUUCCCGGUGGAGCGGUGAAAUGCGUAGAGAUCGGGAGGAAUACCAGUGGCGAAGGCGGCCUUCUGGACUGACACUGACACUGAGGUGUGAAAGCGUGGGUAGCAAACAGGAUUAGAUACCCUAGUAGUC
Molecule: ribosomal RNA, 465 nt
Filed under: Vreelandella stevensii
Lineage: Bacteria; Pseudomonadati; Pseudomonadota; Gammaproteobacteria; Oceanospirillales; Halomonadaceae
Description: partial 16S ribosomal RNA
Rfam family: Bacterial small subunit ribosomal RNA
Source: RNAcentral